This is a long non-coding RNA of Ornithodoros turicata, 699 nucleotides long. RefSeq lists it as uncharacterized. The record is from RefSeq and is a predicted model, not a curated record. The transcript has 3 exons. Lineage: Eukaryota; Metazoa; Arthropoda; Arachnida; Ixodida; Argasidae.
GCUACAACUGCUGGCAGUCUUCCAGCGUGGGACGGACAGCGGUGACGCCAGAGGUCUCGGUGAGCCUUCGAGCGAGGUGGCUUUGACACGUGUCAGUGUGUAUCUGGGCCUUACUUGUUCCCACAUGCGAAUGUGCGAAGGCAAGCUGAGCUUCCCCGAGAAGACCCUGGAAGCCCACCGACUCUGAAUCUCGGACACUGGCAGGAGGGCUCCGAUGGGUUGAGCAAGACCAAUGAGGGCCAGUCCGGGAAGAUCCGGAGGGAACACCAGGCGGGAGGAGAAGCAAAAAGCUUUCGAAUACUCAUCGGUGAAGUAGAAGAAGAGAAAGCAGCAACUGCGGCACAUAAGAAUCUCCUUUGACGAUGAAGAAGAAGAAUUUGACGAACCGCACUUCUGUCUUCGAGAAGCCUAUUCCUAUCACCUUGGGGGUCUGAGGGGCAUUUGAGCUCCCAUUUACGAUCCUGUAUGAUCCAACUCACCUUGUCUUACUUCCCACUGUGUUGACAAACGGGGUGGAAACUACGGCUUGGACAAAUACUGUGUACUCACUUCGUCAAACAGCAAAACGGUUGAGAGACAAAAACACAAUAUGACAGCGAAGUGAUAGCAACCCUUUAGGAAUGUCACAGACCUACAAGUUGGCGGUUGAAGAAAGAAUGACGCACCUAUAUUUGCGGGUGCGUGCAGCGAGUGUGCCUA